AAGAACUGCUUGUGGAAUGUAGAUUAAGUGUGCAGAGCAGCCCAAUAACACCAUAGGAUUAAACUAAAUGGGAUACUUUUCCCUCUAUAGAGAUUCAGUAAAAAUGUAACACUUGGAACUUUAAUUUUUCAUCUUGCCUUUGUUUAAGGAGUUGUUUGUGACACCAAUAACCUCCAAAAGACAUAUGUUGUUUGAAGUAACUAAGUGUGCUUUCCUGAAAAUACUGUUUAAAAAUGGCAAUUUUUAAAGCCGUUAUAAUAAUAAAAGGAAAAUGUAGAAAUACUGAUUGAGCGCAUGAUGUUUUUAGUUUACUGGAGAAGGCUUUAGACUGUUUGUUAGUACAUCCUUUAACCAAAAAGCAGAGAAGAGUGAAAACAUCUGUUUAAACUAGCAGUUAAAAAUUGUAAGAACACUGGAAGUUAUGUGCAAAGUAUGAACGAUCUGCAGCAUAGCGUGUCUGGA
This is a long non-coding RNA of Erpetoichthys calabaricus (reedfish), 462 nucleotides long. RefSeq lists it as uncharacterized. The record is from RefSeq and is a predicted model, not a curated record. The transcript has 2 exons. NCBI's taxonomy places the organism in Eukaryota, Metazoa, Chordata, Cladistia, Polypteriformes, Polypteridae.